This 107-nucleotide transfer RNA is filed under the name Fusarium lateritium. Its description in RNAcentral is "tRNA-Met". It matches the Rfam family "tRNA". Rfam says of the family: Transfer RNA (tRNA) molecules are approximately 80 nucleotides in length. RNAcentral also lists the same sequence under 1 other name. The record is from RNAcentral. Lineage: Eukaryota; Fungi; Ascomycota; Sordariomycetes; Hypocreales; Nectriaceae.
GUCGGUGUGGCUCAGUUGGUUAGAGCGUUGGUCUCAUAUGUUUCGAUGUGACUUGGUUAAACGCCAGGGUAAUCCAAAGGUCGAGAGUUCGAGCCUCUCCACCGACA